CGACGUCCGUCGCCUCCCACAAGCGAGGUCCGCUACCUCCGGCGAGCGAGGUCUGUCUCCUCGCGCCAACGCCCUGGCCGCCUCCGGCGAGUGACGCCCUAACCUCCGCCUCCGCCCUAGCCUCUGACACCUCCGACGAGCGAGGUUCGCCGUUGCCCACGAGCGACGUCCGUCACCUCCCACGAGCGAGGUCCGCUACCUCCGACGAGCGAGGUCUGUCUCCUCGCGCCGACGCCGACGCUGCCUCCGACGAGCGACGCCCUAGCCUCCGCCUCCGCCCUAGCCCCCAACGCCCAUGCCGAAGACGCCUCCGACGAAGCCCGACGCCGACGCCGACGACGCCUACGACGAGCGAGGUCCGCUGCCUCCGACGAGCGAGGUCCGUCUCCUCGCGUCAACGCCGACCCCUAGCCUUCGACGAGCGACGCCCUAGACGCCGACGCCGAUGCCGACGACACCUCCGACGAAGCCCGACGCCGACGCCCUAGCCUCAGACGCCAACCCACAAGAGUUCAAUUUCCAAACUCAUUGAGGUUUCAUGAGUUCACGCCUUCUGAAUGUUCGCUGAAUAGUGGGCAGGCCGUGCAUUUUCUUUCUAAGCGCAUCGUGCCUCUAAACCAAGCCCGCGGGUUUUUCCAUUGGAGGAGGGCAUCCCUUUAAGUGUGGGCUUAAACUCUUAGUGGCACAUCAAUCUGCCUGGAAAAUACUCUGCCUCAAUCUGCAAGAACAGAAUUCUCUAAAAGCAGAGGUUCUGGUAUGGAAUUUGAGUCGGAUUGGACAAAGCACCGAAAGACCUCAGCAUAUGCUGCAUUUGCAAUCUGUUCCGCCACAUCUUUCAUGCCUUGGUCCUAUAAAAUUCCUAUAGCUGAAGGUUACUGUGAAUUUCUCUAAUUAGAAGCCUUCCUAUCGAGUUAGCUCGUCCUUGGGGAGGUCAAUCCAGAGACGGACUGGCUUGCUGCGCCGGAAUAUAACAUCAUUCAGAAGACCAUCCCAAAGGAUAUUGAUGCUUCGUUUCUUGGUUUCUUACACUUUUGGCAGAUUCACGAGUCUGGAUUCAUGUUACUUCAAAUAUUCUGUUAAAUUAGAUACGUCAGGAGUGGUCCAAAAUGAAGCAUCAAUACCUGUCCGGGAAUUCUUCUGUGAACGAUCAAUUUUGUCAUUUUAUCACCUUUAGUGUUUUUAUGCUUCUGUCUUUAAAAAAGCAUAGGAUUUAAUAGUUUGGAUGACUUUUCCUUUGAGCAGGUUGCACAAUUGGAGGACGUAAUAGCAGAAAGAGGAGCUUGUGGAGUUGGGUUUAUUGCCCCGACCUCCGCCGUUGCCUCCGCCCGCCCAAGAGCAGCUGGGUCCCAAGCUCGUUCGCAAUCUCCACCACCAGUCAAACUCACUCUCUCCCUCGCUGAAGUUCCUUCUUGAACGCAUGAUGAAGCAGCUCGCGCGGAGCGAAUGAUUUGCAGGUCGUUUCGCCUCUGGAAUUCGUGCUCCGAGCUUCGGAUGGUGAAUUGAUGUAUCCGUUUCUUCCAUGGUGGUGGUGCUGAUCUAGGUCCUCUUCCGCUGCUGCAUCGGACCUCGGGAAUGGAGGUCGUGGUUCACUAGGGAAUCGGAGGAGGAUCUGCUGGCUGUAUUGAUGAAGCUAAGAGAUGAGUAUAACUACUGCCUCUUCUGUGGAUGUUGGGAGGUCUCUAAGUCAAUGAAGUCGCCACUAUGCAGCUGAUCUAUUGCAGGUAGUCUAUAGCGACGUCUAUAUGCUUGUGGUAUGAAAUGGAUGGUGAUCGGUAAGCUUCCUUACCGCGUCAAAACCGCAAUCGCAAGCUUUUGUGACGGCUGGUUGUACUUUACAUCGGGGUAGCGGGAUCGAGGGCCAGAUAAUCCGCAACCUAAGAUGGUCAUUGGAGACAUGUGGAGGACCAAAUUGAGACUCUGAUGCGAGUUACGUGAAGUCGACCGGAUGAAGCAUUGUCUUAGCUUAGAUUUUUUUUCUUCUUUUUCACUCACAUUUUCUCUAGUACAGCAAUAGUGUCCUGCAAUUACAUAUAAAUUAACAAAAGUAGAUCCACAGCUGCAUAUUGUCCAAUGAUAAUGGAGAUGGACAUUACAUGUCCAAAGAGAAGUCUCUCUUCAAUCAGCCAUGGAAAUGUUUCAAA
Long non-coding RNA from Syzygium oleosum, 2141 nucleotides. RefSeq lists it as uncharacterized. The record is from RefSeq and is a predicted model, not a curated record. The transcript has 6 exons. Lineage: Eukaryota; Viridiplantae; Streptophyta; Magnoliopsida; Myrtales; Myrtaceae.